RNAcentral lists this transfer RNA (73 nucleotides) under Rhodopirellula islandica. RNAcentral describes it as "tRNA-Met". It matches the Rfam family "tRNA". Rfam says of the family: Transfer RNA (tRNA) molecules are approximately 80 nucleotides in length. Their secondary structure includes four short double-helical elements and three loops (D, anti-codon, and T loops). Further hydrogen bonds mediate the characteristic L-shaped molecular structure. tRNAs have two regions of fundamental functional importance: the anti-codon, which is responsible for specific mRNA codon recognition, and the 3' end, to which the tRNAs corresponding amino acid is attached (by aminoacyl-tRNA synthetases). tRNAs cope with the degeneracy of the genetic code in two manners: having more than one tRNA (with a specific anti-codon) for a particular amino acid; and 'wobble' base-pairing, i.e. permitting non-standard base-pairing at the 3rd anti-codon position. Lineage: Bacteria; Pseudomonadati; Planctomycetota; Planctomycetia; Pirellulales; Pirellulaceae. The record is from RNAcentral.
GGGAUUGUGGCAGACGAGGUAAUCCAUCGGACUCAUAACCCGAGCGAUGUGAGUUCGAUUCUCACCGAUCCCA